Molecule: long non-coding RNA, 802 nt
Filed under: Linum usitatissimum (flax)
Lineage: Eukaryota; Viridiplantae; Streptophyta; Magnoliopsida; Malpighiales; Linaceae
Description: long non-coding RNA (LUSI_LNC002328)
Source: RNAcentral
CCACCCGAAUGUGCAUUUCAAGGUGUGGCCUUUUUGAAUUCUCUAGUUGCUUCAAAAGAACCUACACAUCCUGUAGGUUUACCACGAACCUUGCAAUGAAUAUGAAUUUCUAGUUUUGUGCAUUAGAGGUAUAUCCAAUGCUGAUUUGGUAGUAACCUGAAGGGGUCGUGGAUUCAUUUGUGGUGCAGACAGGGGAGAUCUGUCUGGACAUCUUAAAGAAUGCAUGGAGUCCUGCAUGGACUCUUCAGUCAGUUUGUAGGGCUAUAAUUGCUCUUAUGGCUCAUCCUGAGCCUGAUAGCCCUCUCAACUGUGAUUCAGGCAAGCUAAAUAUCUUUGUCUAAUUUCUUGUUUGAUCAAACGUUUCUUUAUCUGUUAGGCUAUGAUAUAAAUUACAUAUGAUACCAAUACUCCAGGAAACCUUUUGCGUUCUGGUGAUCUCAGAGGGUACCAAUCUAUGGCAAGAAUGUAUACAAGACUUGCUGCAUCUCCAAAGAAAGGCUGAAAUUUCAAACUAGUAGCCUGUGCUUCUGUACUUUCACUACUAUAUUUAUUUAUUUAUGAUUUGCUGUGUGCUGCUCAACCCUUUGGGGGUUCGGCUGUGGUUCUCUGUUGUAUGCUGAAAUACCGUUCUGUACAAUUUAGCUGGUCUAUAAGUUAAGAGCAUCUUCGCACAUCAAUAAAUUAUAUAAAUUGAAAGGAACAUUUCUAUAUUCGCAAGGUUGACCACACUUUGCAACGGUACUUACGUACAUUGAAGGAAACAGAUUAUCUUUCUUGUUUACUGAAUACAUCUUUAGCCAUG